GAAAAACCUUUCAACCCUGAAUUGGUUGCCAACCUAAUUCAGCUGAGAAAAGCUUCUGCAUUGGAGGAUACUCAGGUUGCAGAAAUUCUGAAUGAGGUAUCAAGGAGGAUUGAGAGAGAUAAAGGUCCAGUUGUAAUGAAUAUGUCAGGUUAUACCGAGAAGGGUUUCAAGAGAAAACUAGCCGUACAGGCCCUUUUUGGCAAAAUCUUCUACCUGUCUGAGUUGCCGGAAUUCUGUUCGAGGGACAGCUCUUUAACUGUCAAAGAAAUAUUUGGUGUUACAGAUGAAGAUGCUGAAAAACUAAGAACACACACACUCUCUGAAGCUGGGGACAUGGAUUCUCU
RNAcentral lists this unclassified non-coding RNA (344 nucleotides) under Hevea brasiliensis (rubber tree). The record is from RNAcentral. Lineage: Eukaryota; Viridiplantae; Streptophyta; Magnoliopsida; Malpighiales; Euphorbiaceae.